AGUGAACGCUGGCGGUAGGCCUAACACAUGCAAGUCGAACGGCAGCACAGUAAGAGCUUGCUCUUACGGGUGGCGAGUGGCGGACGGGUGAGGAAUACAUCGGAAUCUACUUUUUCGUGGGGGAUAACGUAGGGAAACUUACGCUAAUACCGCAUACGACCUACGGGUGAAAGCAGGGGAUCUUCGGACCUUGCGCGAUUGAAUGAGCCGAUGUCGGAUUAGCUAGUUGGCGGGGUAAAGGCCCACCAAGGCGACGAUCCGUAGCUGGUCUGAGAGGAUGAUCGGCCACACUGGAAGUGAGACACGGUCCAGACUCCUGCGGGAGGCAGCAGUGGGGAAUAUUGGACAAUGGGCGCAAGCCUGAUCCAGCCAUACCGCGUGGGUGAAGAAGGCCUUCGGGUUGUAAAGCCCUUUUGUUGGGAAGGAAAAGCAGCAGGUUAAUACCCCGCUGUUCUGACGGUACCCAAAGAAUAAGCACCGGCUAACUUCGUG
Molecule: ribosomal RNA, 492 nt
Filed under: uncultured bacterium
Lineage: Bacteria
Description: partial 16S ribosomal RNA
Rfam family: Bacterial small subunit ribosomal RNA
Source: RNAcentral